CCUGGAAACAGAUGCUAAUACCGGAUAACAACAGAUGAUGCCUAUCAACUGUUUAAAAGAUGGUUCUGCUAUCACUCUUGGAUGGACCUGCGGUGCAUUAGCUAGUUGGUAGGGUAACGGCCUACCAAGGCGAUGAUGCAUAGCCGAGUUGAGAGACUGAUCGGCCACAUUGGGACUGAGACACGGCCAACUCCUACGGGAGGCAGCAGCUA
RNAcentral lists this ribosomal RNA (212 nucleotides) under uncultured Lactobacillus sp. Its description in RNAcentral is "partial 16S ribosomal RNA". It matches the Rfam family "Bacterial small subunit ribosomal RNA", at positions 149 to 355 of the family's 1533-position model. The record is from RNAcentral. Lineage: Bacteria; Bacillati; Bacillota; Bacilli; Lactobacillales; Lactobacillaceae.